RNAcentral lists this long non-coding RNA (221 nucleotides) under Amborella trichopoda. RNAcentral's name for it is "long non-coding RNA (ATRI_LNC003826)". The record is from RNAcentral. Lineage: Eukaryota; Viridiplantae; Streptophyta; Magnoliopsida; Amborellales; Amborellaceae.
AGAUUUGAAGGGCACUGUUCUCUCUCUGGGUAUCAGCCCAUUUUUCUUCAGGCUUUUCUUUCUCAUCAUCAGUGGCUUCUAUGGCUUUGCAGCUUGCUUUUUCGGGGAUCUUAGGUUUAAGUUUUAAGUAGCUUCCCAUGGGGAAGUCACCUCUCUCUGUCUCAAAAAUCUUUGGGUGAUUUCAUUCACCCAUAGGCCUCUCUCUCUCUCUCUCUCUCUCU